GACGACGCUGGCGGCGUGCCUAACACAUGCAAGUCGAGCGGAGUCGAUCGACGGAAGCCUUCGGGCGGAAGAUGGUUGACUUAGCGGCGGAUGGGUGAGUAACGCGUGGGCAACCUGCCUCGAAGACCGGGAUAACAGUCCGAAAGGGCUGCUAAUACCGGAUGUGGUCAAGGAUCCGCAUGGAUUUUGAUUAAAGGGGAAACCCGUUUCGAGAUGGGCCCGCGUCCUAUCAGCUAGUUGGUGAGGUAAAAGCUCACCAAGGCGACGACGGGUAGCCGGCCUGAGAGGGUGACCGGCCACACUGGAACUGAGACACGGUCCAGACUCCUACGGGGGGCAGCAGUGGGGAAUCUUCCACAAUGGGCGAAAGCCUGAUGGAGCGACGCCGCGUGAGCGAAGAAGGCCUUCGGGUUGUAAAGCUCUGUCUGGAGGGACGAAGGAAGUGACGGUACCUCCGGAGGAAGCCACGGCUAACUACGUG
Molecule: ribosomal RNA, 481 nt
Filed under: uncultured bacterium
Lineage: Bacteria
Description: bacterial SSU rRNA
Rfam family: Bacterial small subunit ribosomal RNA
Source: RNAcentral